GACGAACGCUGGCGGCGUGCUUAACACAUGCAAGUCGAACGGGAUCCAUGUUGUAGCAAUACUUCGGAAGAUCUAGUGGCGAACGGGUGAGGAACACGUGAGAAACCUGCCCCGAACUUCGGGAUAACAGUUGGAAACGACUGCUAAUACCGAAUACCUCUGCGAAGUGGCAUCACUUUGCAAAGAAAGAGUUUCGGUUCGGGAGGGUCUCGCGGCCUAUCAGCUAGUUGGUGGGGUAACGGUCUACCAAGGCAUCGACGGGUAGCUGGUCUGAGAGGAUGAUCAGCCACACUGGGACUGAGACACGGCCCACACUCCUACGGGAUGCAGCAGUGGGGAAUCUUGUGCAAUGGGCGAAAGCCUGACACAGCAACGCCGCGUGCGGGAAGAAGGCCUUCGGGUCGUAAACCGCUUUCAGCAGGAACGAAAAUGACGGUACCUGCAGAAGAAGGUGCGGCCAACUACGUGCCAGCCGCCGCGGUAA
This 484-nucleotide ribosomal RNA is filed under the name uncultured bacterium. Its description in RNAcentral is "partial 16S ribosomal RNA". It matches the Rfam family "Bacterial small subunit ribosomal RNA", at positions 28 to 523 of the family's 1533-position model. The record is from RNAcentral.